Molecule: long non-coding RNA, 281 nt
Organism: Pieris brassicae (large cabbage white)
Lineage: Eukaryota; Metazoa; Arthropoda; Insecta; Lepidoptera; Pieridae
Exons: 2
Source: RefSeq, a predicted model, not a curated record
AGAGGGCAAGGAAACGGAUUUGGAGGCGGUGGUGGUGGUGGUGGCGGCGGGUUUGGAGGCGGACGAGGGUUCGGAGGUGGUUUUGGCGGUGGUCGUGGUUUUGGUGGUCAUGGCCAACGCUAUGGGUAGGUGUUCGACUCUCCUAAUUCAAGAUUGGUGUGUGCGAAGACUACCUACAUCAUGUACACGUGAAAUUUUCAGACGAUAUGGAUUUGGAAGAUACUAUAUAUUAUGAUUAUUAACUACUUGUGAUUUACUAUUUAAAUAGCGUUACGAAUGAA